This 285-nucleotide small RNA is filed under the name Mandrillus leucophaeus (drill). Its description in RNAcentral is "Metazoan signal recognition particle RNA (ENSMLEG00000017684.1)". Lineage: Eukaryota; Metazoa; Chordata; Mammalia; Primates; Cercopithecidae. The record is from RNAcentral.
GCUGGGCGUGGUGGCGGGCGCCUGUAGUCCCAGCUACUUGGGAGGCUGAGGCAGGAGAAUGACGUGAGCUUGGGAGGCGGAGCUUGCAGUGAGCAGAGAUCAUGACACUGCACUCCAGCCUGGGCGACAGAGUGAGACUCCGUCUCAAAAAAAAUAGAGAGUGUAUCUUUUAUUUUUUAAUUUUUGUGACAGGGUCUUGCUCUGUUGCCCAGGCUGGAGUGCAGUGGCACAAUCAUAGCUCACUGCAACCUUGACCUCCUGAGCUCACGCCAUCCUCCUGCCUCA